Molecule: transfer RNA, 50 nt
Filed under: Crangonyx forbesi
Lineage: Eukaryota; Metazoa; Arthropoda; Malacostraca; Amphipoda; Crangonyctidae
Description: tRNA-Ser
Source: RNAcentral
AGUUAUAAACAGUAGCCUUGAAAGUUACAAAAAGAUUCGUCUAAUAACUU